RNAcentral lists this ribosomal RNA (517 nucleotides) under uncultured soil bacterium. RNAcentral describes it as "bacterial SSU rRNA". It matches the Rfam family "Bacterial small subunit ribosomal RNA", at positions 8 to 526 of the family's 1533-position model. The record is from RNAcentral.
AGAGUUUGAUCCUGGCUCAGAUUGAACGCUGGCGGCAUGCCUUACACAUGCAAGUCGAACGGUAGAGGGGCAACCCUUGAGAGUGGCGAACGGGUGAGUAAUAUAUCGGAACGUGCCCAGUCGUGGGGGAUAACGCAGCGAAAGCUGCGCUAAUACCGCAUACGAUCUAAGGAUGAAAGCGGGGGAUCGCAAGACCUCGCGCGAUUGGAGCGGCCGAUAUCAGAUUAGGUAGUUGGUGGGGUAAAAGCCCACCAAGCCGACGAUCUGUAGCUGGUCUGAGAGGACGACCAGCCACACUGGGACUGAGACACGGCCCAGACUCCUACGGGAGGCAGCAGUGGGGAAUUUUGGACAAUGGGCGCAAGCCUGAUCCAGCAAUGCCGCGUGCAGGACGAAGGCCUUCGGGUUGUAAACUGCUUUUGUACGGAGCGAAACGGUCUGGGUUAAUACCCUGGGCUAAUGACGGUACCGUAAGAAUAAGCACCGGCUAACUACGUGCCAGCCGCCGCGGUAAUAC